RNAcentral lists this transfer RNA (76 nucleotides) under Microscilla marina ATCC 23134. Its description in RNAcentral is "tRNA-Met". It matches the Rfam family "tRNA". Rfam says of the family: Transfer RNA (tRNA) molecules are approximately 80 nucleotides in length. Their secondary structure includes four short double-helical elements and three loops (D, anti-codon, and T loops). The record is from RNAcentral. Lineage: Bacteria; Pseudomonadati; Bacteroidota; Cytophagia; Cytophagales; Microscillaceae.
CGCGGGGUAGAGCAGUUGGUAGCUCGUCGGGCUCAUAACCCGGAGGUCAUAGGUUCGAGUCCUGUCUCCGCUACUA